Molecule: ribosomal RNA, 497 nt
Filed under: uncultured bacterium
Lineage: Bacteria
Description: partial 16S ribosomal RNA
Rfam family: Bacterial small subunit ribosomal RNA
Source: RNAcentral
GAUGAACGCUGGCGGCGUGCCUAAUACAUGCAAGUCGAGCGAACGGACGAGGAACUUGCUUCUCUGAUGUUAGCGGCGGACGGGUGAGUAACACGUGGAUAACCUACCUAUAAGACUGGGAUAACUUCGGGAAACCGGAGCUAAUACCGGCUAAUAUUUUGAACCGCAUGGUUCAAAAGUGAAAGACGGUCUUGCUGUCACUUAUAGAUGGAUCCGCGCUGCAUUAGCUAGUUGGUAAGGUAACGGCUUACCAAGGCAACGAUGCAUAGCCGACCUGAGAGGGUGAUCGGCCACACUGGAACUGAGACACGGGCCAGACUCCUACGGGAGGCAGCAGUAGGGAAUCUUCCGCAAUGGGCGAAAGCCUGACGGAGCAACGCCGCGUGAGUGAUGAAGGCCUUCGGAUCGUAAAACUCUGUUAUUAGGGAAGAACAUAUGUGUAAGUAACUGUGCACAUCUUGACGGUACCUAAUCAGAAAGCCCCGGCUAACUACGUG